ACUGGCUGGUCGCUGCUCGCCCAAUUCCCACUGCUCACACAGCUUCCUUGUGGAUCCAUUCAUCCCCAUGCAUCUCCGUAGUUGGAAUUGCAUCAUAGCCGGUAGUCGCUGCUACAUCCUAGCACUUAUUGUGCCCUCUGCUAUGCGAACCUACUGAGACUUAGCUAACAACGAGACGGGGAACUGCUGCUGUGUGACCGCUGCUGCUUUGUCUUCACGAAGCGUGAUCGCUCAUCUGUGUUUGUAGGCCUAACCGUGUGACCGCUAACGUUUGUCUCGACUUUGUCAUAUUACGUGUCAUUCUUGUCAAUUCUGUGUGUACAUGGUUUUGGUUUAUUACUCUACUGUUUUGAUUUGCUUUACCACUGGCAGGAGGCCAUUUCCCCUGCGCUGCUGAUAACCAGUGUCCCAACAUCUCUUACUUUGUAAUGUAUCUCUGGUUUUCUAGCUUUCUUCUUAUGAUUUGAUUAGCCACUGAUAGGAGGCUGCUAUUCCAUCUGUGCUGUGGAUUACCAGUGUGCUAGUAUUUAUUAUUUCUGGGGAAUUUCUACUUUAGUUUUUGUUUGUUUGUUUGUUUGUUUGUUUGUUUGUUGCACUGGCAGGAGGCCAUUUGUCCAGCUGCUGAGAGCCCGUGUCUUACCCGUAAUUGUGAUUCUUUAUGUGGUUGAUUAACCGGUGUGGCUCCCACUAAUUGUCCUCCCCCUGUCCUGCGUCUUUUCUAGGAGCUGAGGCCUACGGUGGAGGGGCUGCUGUCUUCCUGGUGGUGUCCCCUUUUUGGUGUGCUACUAUUAUACCUCACGGGUUGCUGAUUUGACCUUUGCUGUGUGUGUGUGUGUGCGAAUACUGUACGUGGACACUCUUGCAGUGGUGUGACCUCUCCUGGGACGCCUCUCUCCUUAGUUAGCCAGUCCCCUCGCUGGUAAGCCUCAGUUCCUGCUGUCUGUCUCCCCUUGGUAUGUCUGAUGUGCUUGAGGCAAUGUGAGCGUAAUUUUAGAUUUUGUUAAUAAAUUAUUGUCAUUUUACUGGAAUGGAA
Molecule: long non-coding RNA, 1033 nt
Organism: Sardina pilchardus (European sardine)
Lineage: Eukaryota; Metazoa; Chordata; Actinopteri; Clupeiformes; Clupeidae
Exons: 3
Source: RefSeq, a predicted model, not a curated record